RNAcentral lists this transfer RNA (77 nucleotides) under Candidatus Avacholeplasma faecigallinarum. RNAcentral describes it as "tRNA-Arg". It matches the Rfam family "tRNA". From Rfam's summary of the family: Transfer RNA (tRNA) molecules are approximately 80 nucleotides in length. Their secondary structure includes four short double-helical elements and three loops (D, anti-codon, and T loops). Further hydrogen bonds mediate the characteristic L-shaped molecular structure. tRNAs have two regions of fundamental functional importance: the anti-codon, which is responsible for specific mRNA codon recognition, and the 3' end, to which the tRNAs corresponding amino acid is attached (by aminoacyl-tRNA synthetases). tRNAs cope with the degeneracy of the genetic code in two manners: having more than one tRNA (with a specific anti-codon) for a particular amino acid; and 'wobble' base-pairing, i.e. permitting non-standard base-pairing at the 3rd anti-codon position. The record is from RNAcentral.
GUGUCUGUAGCUCAGUUGAAUAGAGCAUAACCCUCCGAAGGUUAAGGCCGUGGGUUUGAGUCCCAUCAGACACACCA